GGAACAUACCAGCUGAACACAUUCUGCAUUUAUGGUCUUCAGAGGCACGACUGGUCAUAACAGAUGCCCCUUAAUUUCUCGGUAUUUACAAGGAGGUCAUUCAAUUUAAAAGCAUUGGUGAUAAGGACUGCUAAAUAUUGGCAUGGAUUUGAUUUACAUGUGUUACAAUUACAAUAUUUUGUAAUGUGAUUUGAUCUUAUCUGCUUGAAUGUUGACAGAACAGAACUGCUUGAAUGUUAACAGUGAAUGUAUGCAUGAUUGUGCUUGGUUUUAAACAUUUAUGAUAAUUUUACUGUAUGUGUAUUCUUGAUUUAUGUGGAUUUUGAAAAUUCCAAAGAUGCCCCAGUGUGUGUGUGUGUGUGUGUGUGUGUGUGUGUGUGUGUGUGUGUGUGUGUGUGUGUGUGUGAGUGAGGAAUGAGUUUUAUAGCCCCAUAUGAAUGCCACACUAAAUGGUGGAGUCAGAGAUGAAGGACAUGCUCCCGUGCUAAUGCACACGUGAGAGGGACACAGAUGCAUAACAGAAAUAAUUCAACAGCUCUAUUUUGCUCACUCUUCUUCUUUUUCAUCUAGGCCAAGGGCACAAAGAGAACUAUGUCUGAAGGGUAAUGUGACAACCUGUUGCUGAUUAUAUAAUUGUAAUAAUGAGUAUUAGUCAAAGAAAUGUUGCUUGAAUUGAUCAAUAUUUGUUCUCUUUUUUGUUUCCCCCCUCUAAAUAACAACACAGACCGGUAAGUUGAACCAUGCAAUCUUCUACUUCAUAGUUGUUUCACAUUAUAUUGCAAUGCAAUUUUAAAAAUCGCUUUGAACCCCUUUAACCCCUAUUGUACAUUUAAUUACUUUCAUACUAUACAUUUGUAUUAGUUAUCUCUUUAAUGACUACAUUUACAUGCACAUCAAAUUCCAUUUAAAGUGCACAUAUUAUGGUUUUUCAAAUAUUACCCUUCAUGUAGUGUGUUAAAGAGCUGUUUGUGAAUGUAAAAACAUCUGCAAAGUUUCAGAAAUCUAAGCACACAACAAACAGAGUUAUUGACUCCCAAAGGAAGGAACAGAUUCUGAACAGCUGAAAUGCGUCAUUAGUAAUUCCAGACUUACUUCCUGUACUAAACUACAUAGGUUUGUAACAAAAAGCCCCGCAUCUGGUCUUCAUCGGCUUCUCGCGAACAGACUGAGCUGAAACUCGUUAUGGUAGUGGGCGUUUCCUUUUCAACACACGCUGACAGCGGUAGACCAAUCACAACAGAUUGGGACAUCUGACCAGUCAGAGCAGAGUAUGCUCCCUGAAAGAAGGAGUUUAGAAUGAAUCCUUUAGAAUGGAUCAUUGAACGAGUCAUUUGUGACACUGGGGGAAAAAGGUAAUGCUGCAGUUCAAAUUAUGAGCACAUUAAAGUGCUUUUUGACCUUGGAUGCACGUGAAUCUAUUGUAUGAGAUCUUUAAAACAAAAUUAAGCACAUUUCAAAACCAUAAUAGGUGCACUUUAAGGUCUAUAUUCGGGUUGCAGCCAUAUUUUGAAUACGAUGUUUAUAUAAGUACAAGCAUCAAAAUAUUCACAUUACAUGGUUGUUGUAGGUAUACCUGGUAUACCUGAGUUGCCAUUCCUAAAUACCUAGCCUACAGCUAAGCAUCCAUUAGCACCCACAAUUCCUUGCGGACUGAGCAUGCGCUUUUAUAUCUUCUUUCAGUGGAUUUUCUGAAUAAGUACAUGCAACAAAUUUCCGAUUAUUU
Ictalurus punctatus (channel catfish) is the source of this 1723-nucleotide long non-coding RNA. NCBI's taxonomy places the organism in Eukaryota, Metazoa, Chordata, Actinopteri, Siluriformes, Ictaluridae. The record is from Ensembl.